GACGAACGCUGGCGGCGUGCUUAACACAUGCAAGUCGAACGGAAAGGCCCUGCUUUUGUGGGGUGCUCGAGUGGCGAACGGGUGAGUAACACGUGAGUAACCUGCCCUUGACUUUGGGAUAACUUCAGGAAACUGGGGCUAAUACCGGAUAGGAGCUCCUGCUGCAUGGUGGGGGUUGGAAAGUUUCGGCGGUUGGGGAUGGACUCGCGGCUUAUCAGCUUGUUGGUGGGGUAGUGGCUUACCAAGGCUUUGACGGGUAGCCGGCCUGAGAGGGUGACCGGCCACAUGGGGACUGAGAUACGGACCAGAAUCCUACGGGAGGCAGCAGUGGGGAAUAUGGCACAAUGGGCGGAAGCCUGAUGCAGCAACGCCGCGUGCGGGAUGACGGCCUUCGGGUUGUAAACCGCUUUCGCCUGUGACGAAGCGUGAGUGACGGUAAUGGGUAAAGAAGCACCGGCUAACUACGUG
This 468-nucleotide ribosomal RNA is filed under the name uncultured bacterium. RNAcentral's name for it is "partial 16S ribosomal RNA". It matches the Rfam family "Bacterial small subunit ribosomal RNA", at positions 28 to 507 of the family's 1533-position model. The record is from RNAcentral.